UCGAGAAUCUUCCGCAAUGGGCGAAAGCCUGACGGAGCGACGCCGCGUGAUGGACGAAGGCCCUCGGGUUGUAAACAUCUGUCGUAGGGGAGGAAAUUUUGACCGAUCCUAGGAGGAAGCACAGGCUAAGUUCGUGCCAGCAGCCGCGGUAAUACGAACUGUGCGAACGUUAUUCGGAAUCACUGGGCUUAAAGGGUGCGUAGGCGGAUUUGUAGGUCAGAUGUGAAAGCCCACGGCUCAACCGUGGAAUUGCGUUUGAAACCCCAAGUCUUGAGGGGAUCAGAGGAGAGCGGAACUGAUUGUGGAGCGGUGAAAUGCGUUGAUAUGAUUAGGAACACCGGUGGCGAAAGCGGCUCUCUGGGAUCUUUCUGACGCUGAGGCACGAAAGCUAGGGGAGCGAACGGGAUUAGAUACCCGCGUAGUCC
RNAcentral lists this ribosomal RNA (425 nucleotides) under uncultured prokaryote. RNAcentral describes it as "bacterial SSU rRNA". It matches the Rfam family "Bacterial small subunit ribosomal RNA", at positions 355 to 796 of the family's 1533-position model. The record is from RNAcentral.